Parus major (Great Tit) is the source of this 1623-nucleotide long non-coding RNA. RefSeq lists it as uncharacterized. The transcript is spliced from 3 exons. The record is from RefSeq and is a predicted model, not a curated record. Lineage: Eukaryota; Metazoa; Chordata; Aves; Passeriformes; Paridae.
CUGCUGAGCACUCUGUCAGGUCUGUGACAGUCAACAGCAAAUAAGGAUCUGUAACGCAGAGCACAAGUUGUCAUUAUCAACUGAGACAUUCCAUCCAAAAACAGAUGGAGAUGCCACUCCUUGUUUUACAAAAUGCACAUUGAGAAGAGCUGGGUUCUAGUCACGCCCUCAAAAGAUGGAAGCACAGACCAAGGUGUGUAACCUCUCCAGGCUACUUCUGUCCUGAGCUGCAGCAGUCUCUGAGAGGAACUGACUGGGGCUGGGAGCUGCCCCUUUCCUGGAGAGCUACGAGUAGGACAACCUUGCUGUCUGAGCAGCUGAGCAUCUGAAGGACAGCAAGGAACAUUCCCACCACUGGGAAGGAAGAGCAGGGAGAACACAAAGAGCAAGGCCUUACAAAAGGCCCAAGAAAAGCCUGCUGAAGGAGUCAGAGAACUAGUUCUGCAGAUUCCUAAAGGCAACAUACUGAAACUGAGUCUAGAGGACAUCACUGAUGUGCCUACAUGUAGGGGGUUUGUAAGGAUAUUCGAUUCUAUCUUGCCUCUGGCAAUUUGAAUUUUAUCUGUCCUAAAAUGCUGGUGAUCAUCUGCCCUAAUGUAACCAUUCCCAGUGUCUAAAGACAACAAAUAAAAAAUAUGUGUAAAUACAACUCCUAAUUUUAUAUGACCUUUUGGUCUUAUACAUGUGCUUGCAGUUUUGUCACAAAACUUUUAAAACUUCUAGUUGUGAAAAUAAUUUUAAAAUCUUGUUAGAAGUUUGAAACUGAUGGAAGAUUAAAGGUUAUGGUACUAAAUUAUAAUGAAAAUCCAAAUAUAUACUUUCAAAGAGAAAUAUGCUUAGCGUUUGCUGCCAUUACUUUCAGCAUUAAGUUUUGGUAUGAAGAGCCUCUGAUGCCUGCCAAGUUUUUAUAGACAACCUGCUGUUUGCAAACCAAAGCAAGAAAUGUCCCAUUUCCUGACCUUUGCCUUUGUUUUUAGUUCUCACACACAAAAUAUUUGGUUUGUGAGAGAAAUUUUUAAUAUUCACUAUCAGGCUUAGAUUCUUUCACAGUUAAUGUAUGACUUUCAACUUAAUCUUCUUGAUUUUCUUUAAUUUUUUUUUUGGUGUUUUUCUUGAAUAUGUGUUAUAGUAUAAUUCAGCUGACUUCCUUUAAAAGUACUAAAUAAAAUAGUCAUAUAAAUCUGAAAGAGAUUUUCCUCUUGUGCCAUUUUCUAGUAUUUUAUUUUUAUAAGUAACUCAGCUGUGUGUUGCCAUCAAAUACUAGGGUCAAACUAAACCACAAUAUUUUAAAUAGGAAUUUAGUCAGUACACACAUAUAUAAAAUGUGAUUCUAGUACACUAUUCAGUGUUUUUAAAAGAAAUGACUGAUAAAAUAAUAGUUUGUUCUGUUCCAAGUGUUCAUUCCUGCUGGUGAUUUGCUCCACAUCACAGCUGCUAAUAAUCAGGCUGCUGGAAUAAAGGCUACUGUACCCUUUGCACAGUAUUUACUCUUUAGGAGAACUGUAAUGUUUUAACAAUGUUCUACUACUUGCUGGUUUGUGAUCUACACAAAAGUAUUAAAUUGAUUUAAUAGCAGAGAUUUAUGAUAGCUAACCUGUAAUUACAACCUCAUUACUUUCAUAG